This 506-nucleotide ribosomal RNA is filed under the name uncultured bacterium. RNAcentral's name for it is "bacterial SSU rRNA". It matches the Rfam family "Bacterial small subunit ribosomal RNA", at positions 24 to 518 of the family's 1533-position model. The record is from RNAcentral.
UCAGGAUGAACGCUAGCUACAGGCUUAACACAUGCAAGUCGAGGGGCAGCAUGGAGUUUGCUUGCAAACUCUGAUGGCGACCGGCGCACGGGUGAGUAACGCGUAUCCAACCUUCCCUAUAGUAGAGGAUAGCCCGGCGAAAGUCGGAUUAAUACUCUAUGUUUUCCGUUGCAGACAUCUAAGAUGGAACAAAGGCUUGCCGCUAUAGGAUGGGGAUGCGUCUGAUUAGGUAGUCGGCGGGGUAACGGCCCACCGAGCCAUCGAUCAGUAGGGGUUCUGAGAGGAAGGUCCCCCACAUUGGAACUGAGACACGGUCCAAACUCCUACGGGAGGCAGCAGUGAGGAAUAUUGGUCAAUGGACGAGAGUCUGAACCAGCCAAGUAGCCGUGCAGGACGACGGCCCUAUGGGUUGUAAACUGCUUUUAUGCGGGGAUAAAGUUCACUACGUGUAGUGUUUUGUAGGUACCGCAUGAAUAAGGACCGGCUAAUUCCGUGCCAGCCGCCGC